CUACGGGUGGCUCCAGUCGAGAAUAAUUCACAAUGGGGGCAACCCUGAUGGUGCAACGCCGCGUGGAGGAUGACGGUCUUCGGAUUGUAAACUCCUGUCAUCCGGGAGUAAGACCUGGCGGUUAACAGCCGACAGGGUUGAUAGUACCGGAAGAGGAAGGGACGGCUAACUUCGUGCCAGCAGCCGCGGUAAUACGAAGGUCCCGAGCGUUGUUCGGAAUCACUGGGCGUAAAGGGAGCGUAGGCGGCGUGGUAAGUCAGAUGUGAAAUCCCGGGGCUCAACCCCGGAACUGCAUCCGAUACUGCCGUGCUAGAGGAUUGGAGAGGUAGCUGGAAUUCACGGUGUAGCAGUGAAAUGCGUGGAUAUCGUGAGGAACACUCGUGGCGAAAGCGAGCUACUGGACAACUCCUGACGCUGAGGCUCGAAGGCCAGGGUAGCGAAAGGGAUUAGAUACCCUAGUAGUC
This 464-nucleotide ribosomal RNA is filed under the name uncultured bacterium. RNAcentral describes it as "partial 16S ribosomal RNA". It matches the Rfam family "Bacterial small subunit ribosomal RNA", at positions 339 to 795 of the family's 1533-position model. The record is from RNAcentral.